AACGAACGCUGGCAGCAUGCCUAACACAUGCAAGUCGAACGAGACCUUCGGGUCUAGUGGCGCACGGGUGCGUAACGCGUGGGAACCUGCCCUUAGGUUCGGAAUAACUCCCCGAAAGGGGUGCUAAUACCGGAUAAUGUCUUCGGACCAAAGAUUUAUCGCCUUUGGAUGGGCCCGCGUUGGAUUGGCUAGUUGGUAGGGUAAAAGCCUACCAAGGCGACGAUCCAUAGCUGGUCCGAGAGGAUGAUCAGCCACACUGGGACUGAGACACGGCCCAGACUCCUACGGGAGGCAGCAGUGGGGAAUAUUGGACAAUGGGCGAAAGCCUGAUCCAGCAAUGCCGCGGGAGUGAUGAAGGCCUUAGGGUUGUAAAGCUCUUUUACCCGGGAUGAUAAUGACAGUACCGGGAGAAUAAGCUCCGGCUAACUCCGUG
Molecule: ribosomal RNA, 433 nt
Filed under: uncultured bacterium
Lineage: Bacteria
Description: partial 16S ribosomal RNA
Rfam family: Bacterial small subunit ribosomal RNA
Source: RNAcentral